CAGCAGCCGCGGUAAUACGUAGGUGGCAAGCGUUGUCCGGAAUUAUUGGGCGUAAAGGGCUCGCAGGCGGUUUCUUAAGUCUGAUGUGAAAGCCCCCGGCUCAACCGGGGAGGGUCAUUGGAAACUGGGAAACUUGAGUGCAGAAGAGGAGAGUGGAAUUCCACGUGUAGCGGUGAAAUGCGUAGAGAUGUGGAGGAACACCAGUGGCGAAGGCGACUCUCUGGUCUGUAACUGAUGCUGAGGAGCGAAAGCGUGGGGAGCGAACAGGAUUAGAUACCCCUGUAGUCCCUGUCUCUUAUAA
Molecule: ribosomal RNA, 301 nt
Filed under: uncultured bacterium
Lineage: Bacteria
Description: partial 16S ribosomal RNA
Rfam family: Bacterial small subunit ribosomal RNA
Source: RNAcentral